RNAcentral lists this ribosomal RNA (253 nucleotides) under uncultured bacterium. RNAcentral's name for it is "partial 16S ribosomal RNA". It matches the Rfam family "Bacterial small subunit ribosomal RNA", at positions 524 to 776 of the family's 1533-position model. The record is from RNAcentral.
UACGUAGGUGGCAAGCGUUGUCCGGAUUUACUGGGUGUAAAGGGCGUGCAGCCGGGCUGACAAGUCAGAUGUGAAAUCCCGCGGCUCAACCGCGGAACUGCAUUUGAAACUGUCAGUCUUGAGUACCGGAGAGGUCAUCGGAAUUCCUUGUGUAGCGGUGAAAUGCGUAGAUAUAAGGAAGAACACCAGUGGCGAAGGCGGCCUGCUGGACAGUAACUGACGUUGAGGCUCGAAAGCGUGGGGAGCAAACAGG